AUGGGAAGCUCGAGUUCAAAAAGUGAGCCAACUUCAGCACCACCAAGGCCUCCGCACAGCACGACUACUAGCGCACCUGCUCCAGCCAGCAUGACUACUAGCGCACCUGCUCCAGUCCCAACAAUAGGAGCUGAACACGGUUUUGAUGACCAUGAGGUACUCUACAUGUUGCUGUCCUUUCUUGCUGGUGCUUUGUUAGCCUCUCUGAUAUUCACAUUCAUCUGCUUGAUCAUCGGACAAAGGACAAAAAAAUCUCGCAGGAGAUUCCAAGAGGCUUCUCCAGAGAAGGAUGUUGCCCAGUCCAUGCAGCAGGCAGAUGUGGAACAUGCCCAGGAAAAGCUUCCCCAGGACGAAGUCCAUUAUGCCUCUUUGACUUUCAAGAAGACAUCCAAGUCCGCUGCAGAGAAAUGA
RNAcentral lists this long non-coding RNA (411 nucleotides) under Crocodylus porosus (Australian saltwater crocodile). RNAcentral describes it as "lncRNA (ENSCPRG00005015848.1)". The record is from RNAcentral. Lineage: Eukaryota; Metazoa; Chordata; Crocodylia; Crocodylidae.